AUUGAACGCUGGCGGCAGGCCUAACACAUGCAAGUCGAGCGGUAACAUUUCUAGCUUGCUAGAAGAUGACGAGCGGCGGACGGGUGAGUAAUGCUUGGGAACAUGCCUUGAGGUGGGGGACAACCAUUGGAAACGAUGGCUAAUACCGCAUAAUGUCUACGGACCAAAGGGGGCUUCGGCUCUCGCCUUUAGAUUGGCCCAAGUGGGAUUAGCUAGUUGGUGAGGUAAAGGCUCACCAAGGCGACGAUCCCUAGCUGGUUUGAGAGGAUGAUCAGCCACACUGGAACUGAGACACGGUCCAGACUCCUACGGGAGGCAGCAGUGGGGAAUAUUGCACAAUGGGCGCAAGCCUGAUGCAGCCAUGCCGCGUGUGUGAAGAAGGCCUUCGGGUUGUAAAGCACUUUCAGUCAGGAGGAAAGGUUAGUAGUUAAUACCUGCUAGCUGUGACGUUACUGACAGAAGAAGCACCGGCUAACUCCGUGC
This 483-nucleotide ribosomal RNA is filed under the name Pseudoalteromonas sp. RNAcentral's name for it is "bacterial SSU rRNA". It matches the Rfam family "Bacterial small subunit ribosomal RNA", at positions 30 to 508 of the family's 1533-position model. The record is from RNAcentral. Lineage: Bacteria; Pseudomonadati; Pseudomonadota; Gammaproteobacteria; Alteromonadales; Pseudoalteromonadaceae.